CAGUUUAUUUUCCACAAAUGGGAUUCUCACUAGAAAAACUGUCCUGAAUUUUUUCACACAACAUUUUCGGAGACCUUCCAUAUCCAGUACACACAGCCACAAUUCCACUGCAUAUUUUUAUUAUUGCACUUUUCACUAUUAAAAACAAAGCCGCAAGUAACAUUCUUAUACAGUUAUACAAAGAUAUCUGUAACAAAUUUCUGAACAACUGCUAUGUCAAAGGAUACAGGUCUUUAAAUACACACAUCCUUGUUUCUUCUCUAUAGUUAAUUUUCAUCAGUUGAUAUGAUGGAAAAUCUCUUUCAUCCACUGUAACCCCCUGGACUCAAUGGUUUCACCUAAAGCAAAUAUGAGAGCAGGUGGGAAAUUCCUAUUCUAAUCCCUUUACUGGAGUUUUAUAUUGAUUUAUCUAAUUGAGGAGAUCAUUUUUCAAAUAUAUGAUUUUUAUUUCAAAGUGUAGUUAUUUUCCUUUCUAGGAAAUGAUGGCAGCUCUAUGUUUCUCUAAAAAAGCUUCCAGCGAAGAAAGAUUAUUAUAUGUUGUAAACAUUUCAAUAUUAUUUAGCAAUUUCAGGUUUAUAGAGAUGAGAUGACUUUCAGAAGUUUUAUGAAGUCAGAGAUGUAAGC
RNAcentral lists this long non-coding RNA (624 nucleotides) under Bos taurus (domestic cattle). RNAcentral's name for it is "long non-coding RNA NONBTAT011036". Lineage: Eukaryota; Metazoa; Chordata; Mammalia; Artiodactyla; Bovidae. The record is from RNAcentral.